This 583-nucleotide ribosomal RNA is filed under the name bacterium Myr7. RNAcentral describes it as "partial 16S ribosomal RNA". It matches the Rfam family "Bacterial small subunit ribosomal RNA", at positions 63 to 659 of the family's 1533-position model. The record is from RNAcentral.
CUUGCUNCUUUUGCCGGCGAGCGGCGGACGGGUGAGUAUGCCUGGGAAUUGCCCAGUCGAGGGGGAUAACAGUUGGAAACGACUGCUAAUACCGCAUACGCCCUACGGGGGAAAGCAGGGGACCUUCGGGCCUUGCGCGAUUGGAUAUGCCCAGGUGGGAUUAGCUAGUUGGUGAGGUAAUGGCUCACCAAGGCGACGAUCCCUAGCUGGUCUGAGAGGAUGAUCAGCCACACUGGAACUGAGACACGGUCCAGACUCCUACGGGAGGCAGCAGUGGGGAAUAUUGCACAAUGGGGGAAACCCUGAUGCAGCCAUGCCGCGUGUGUGAAGAAGGNCUUCGGGUUGUAAAGCACUUUCAGCGAGGAGGAAAGGNCAGUAGCUAAUAUCUNCUGACUGUGACGUUACUCGCAGAAGAAGCACCGGCUAACUCCGUGCCAGCAGCCGCGGUAAUACNGAGGGUGCAAGCGUUAAUCGGAAUUACUGGGCGUAAAGCGCACGCNNNGGUUGGAUAAGUUANAUGUGAAAGCCCCGGGCUCANCUGGGAAUUGCAUUUAAACUGUCCAGCUAGAGUCNUGUANAGGGG